Molecule: ribosomal RNA, 254 nt
Filed under: uncultured bacterium
Lineage: Bacteria
Description: partial 16S ribosomal RNA
Rfam family: Bacterial small subunit ribosomal RNA
Source: RNAcentral
UACGGGGGGGGCAAGCGUUGUUCGGAAUUACUGGGCGUAAAGGGCCAGUAGGCGGCCAACUAAGUCCGACGUGAAAUCCCCAGGCUUAACCUGGGAACUGCGUCGGAUACUGGAUGGCUUGAAUUCGGGAGAGGGAUGCAGAAUUCCAGGUGUAGCGGUGAAAUGCGUAGAUAUCUGGAGGAACACCGGUGGCGAAGGCGGCAUCCUGGACCAACACUGACGCUGAGUGAGCGAAAGCCAGGGGAGCAAACGGG